Molecule: ribosomal RNA, 460 nt
Filed under: uncultured bacterium
Lineage: Bacteria
Description: partial 16S ribosomal RNA
Rfam family: Bacterial small subunit ribosomal RNA
Source: RNAcentral
CCUACGGGGGGCUGCAGUGAGGAAUAUUGGUCAAUGGACGAGAGUCUGAACCAGCCAAGUAGCGUGAAGGAUGACUGCCCUAUGGGUUGUAAACUUCUUUUAUAUGGGAAUAAAACGUUCCACGUGUGGGAUUUUGUAUGUACCAUAUGAAUAAGGAUCGGCUAACUCCGUGCCAGCAGCCGCGGUAAUACGGAGGAUCCGAGCGUUAUCCGGAUUUAUUGGGUUGAAAGGGAGCGUAGGUGGAUUGUUAAGUCAGUUGUGAAAGUGUGCGGCUCAACCGUAAAAUUGCAGUUGAAACUGGCAGUCUUGAGUACAGUAGAGGUGGGCGGAAUUCGUGGUGUAGCGGUGAAAUGCUUAGAUAUCACGAAGAACUCCGAUUGCGAAGGCAGUUCACUGGACUGCAACUGACACUGAGGCUCGAAGGUGUGGGUAUCAAACAGGAUUAGAUACCCGUGUAGUC